RNAcentral lists this ribosomal RNA (611 nucleotides) under Schellackia sp. RNAcentral's name for it is "SSU rRNA". It matches the Rfam family "Eukaryotic small subunit ribosomal RNA", at positions 312 to 927 of the family's 1831-position model. Lineage: Eukaryota; Apicomplexa; Conoidasida; Eucoccidiorida; Lankesterellidae. The record is from RNAcentral.
CUAUCAGCUUUCGACGGUAGGGUAUUGGCCUACCGUGGCAGUGACGGGUAACGGGGAAUUAGGGUUCGAUUCCGGAGAGGGAGCCUGAGAAACGGCUACCACAUCUAAGGAAGGCAGCAGGCGCGCAAAUUACCCAAUGAAAACAGUUUCGAGGUAGUGACGAGAAAUAACAAUACAGGGCAUUUUAUGCUCUGUAAUUGGAAUGAUGGGAAUCUAAAACCCUUUCAGAGUAACAAUUGGAGGGCAAGUCUGGUGCCAGCAGCCGCGGUAAUUCCAGCUCCAAUAGCGUAUAUUAGAGUUGUUGCAGUUAAAAAGCUCGUAGUUGGAUUUCUGUCGUGGUCUUCCGGUUUCGCCCGUACGGGUGUUGACUUGGUUAGCCCUCGGCAUUCUUCCGGUCCCUUCCCCGCUUCAUUGCGUGGUAGGUUCCUCCGGAACUUUUACUUUGAGAAAAAUAGAGUGUUUCAAGCAGGCUUUCGCCUUGAAUACUUCAGCAUGGAAUAAUAAGAUAGGACUUUGGUUCUAUUUUGUUGGUUUCUAGGACUAAAGUAAUGAUUAAUAGGGACAGUUGGGGGCAUUCGUAUUUAACUGUCAGAGGUGAAAUUCUUAGAUUU